GACGAACGCUGGCGGCGUGCUUUACACAUGCAAGUCGAACGGUAACGCCCCGCCUUUGUGUGAUGCUCGACUGACGGGCGGGUAAGUAAUCCGUACGUACCCUGACCUUGGCUUUAGGAUAACUUAAGGUAACUUAGUCCCACACGGGAUAGGAGGUUCUGAUGCAUGGAGCGGGUAGGAAUGUUUCGGCGGUUUGGGAUGGAGCCGCGGAUUAUCAGCUAGUUGGUGGGGUAGUGGCUUACCUAGGCUUUGACCGAUCGCCCGCCUGUGUGGGUGGCCGGCCACAUUGGGACUGAGAUACGGCCCAGACUGCUACUGGAGGCAGCAGUGGGGAAUAUUGCACAAUGGGCGGGAGCCUGAGACAACAACGCCGCGGUCGGGAUGACGGCCUUCGAGUUGUAAACCGCUGUCGCCUGUGACGAAGCGUGAGUGACGGUAAUUGGUAAAGAAGCACCGGCUAACUACGUG
Molecule: ribosomal RNA, 468 nt
Filed under: uncultured bacterium
Lineage: Bacteria
Description: partial 16S ribosomal RNA
Rfam family: Bacterial small subunit ribosomal RNA
Source: RNAcentral